RNAcentral lists this ribosomal RNA (1599 nucleotides) under Lactobacillus helveticus. RNAcentral describes it as "bacterial SSU rRNA". It matches the Rfam family "Bacterial small subunit ribosomal RNA". The record is from RNAcentral. Lineage: Bacteria; Bacillati; Bacillota; Bacilli; Lactobacillales; Lactobacillaceae.
UCGACGAUUGCAGAGUUCUCGGAGUCACGAAGAGUUUGAUCCUGGCUCAGGACGAACGCUGGCGGCGUGCCUAAUACAUGCAAGUCGAGCGAGCAGAACCAGCAGAUUUACUUCGGUAAUGAUGCUGGGGACGCGAGCGGCGGAUGGGUGAGUAACACGUGGGGAACCUGCCCCAUAGUCUGGGAUACCACUUGGAAACAGGUGCUAAUACCGGGUAAGAAAGCAGAUCGCAUGAUCAGCUUAUAAAAGACGGCGUAAGCUGUCGCUAUGGGAUGGCCCCGCGGUGCAUUAGCUAGUUGGCAAGGUAACGGCUUACCAAGGCAAUGAUGCAUAGCCGAGUUGAGAGACUGAUCGGCCACAUUGGGACUGAGACACGGCCCAAACUCCUACGGGAGGCAGCAGUAGGGAAUCUUCCACAAUGGACGCAAGUCUGAUGGAGCAACGCCGCGUGAGUGAAGAAGGUUUUCGGAUCGUAAAGCUCUGUUGUUGGUGAAGAAGGAUAGAGGUAGUAACUGGCCUUUAUUUGACGGUAAUCAACCAGAAAGUCACGGCUAACUACGUGCCAGCAGCCGCGGUAAUACGUAGGUGGCAAGCGUUGUCCGGAUUUAUUGGGCGUAAAGCGAGCGCAGGCGGAAGAAUAAGUCUGAUGUGAAAGCCCUCGGCUUAACCGAGGAACUGCAUCGGAAACUGUUUUUCUUGAGUGCAGAAGAGGAGAGUGGAACUCCAUGUGUAGCGGUGGAAUGCGUAGAUAUAUGGAAGAACACCAGUGGCGAAGGCGACUCUCUGGUCUGCAACUGACGCUGAGGCUCGAAAGCAUGGGUAGCGAACAGGAUUAGAUACCCUGGUAGUCCAUGCCGUAAACGAUGAGUGCUAAGUGUUGGGAGGUUUCCGCCUCUCAGUGCUGCAGCUAACGCAUUAAGCACUCCGCCUGGGGAGUACGACCGCAAGGUUGAAACUCAAAGGAAUUGACAGGGGCCCGCACAAGCGGUGGAGCAUGUGGUUUAAUUCGAAGCAACGCGAAGAACCUUACCAGGUCUUGACAUCUAGUGCCAUCCUAAGAGAUUAGGAGUUCCCUUCGGGGACGCUAAGACAGGUGGUGCAUGGCUGUCGUCAGCUCGUGUCGUGAGAUGUUGGGUUAAGUCCCGCAACGAGCGCAACCCUUAUUAUUAGUUGCCAGCAUUAAGUUGGGCACUCUAAUGAGACUGCCGGUGACAAACCGGAGGAAGGUGGGGAUGACGUCAAGUCAUCAUGCCCCUUAUGACCUGGGCUACACACGUGCUACAAUGGACAGUACAACGAGAAGCGAGCCUGCGAAGGCAAGCGAAUCUCUGAAAGCUGUUCUCAGUUCGGACUGCAGUCUGCAACUCGACUGCACGAAGCUGGAAUCGCUAGUAAUCGCGGAUCAGAACGCCGCGGUGAAUACGUUCCCGGGCCUUGUACACACCGCCCGUCACACCAUGGAAGUCUGCAAUGCCCAAAGCCGGUGGCCUAACCUUCGGGAAGGAGCCGUCUAAGGCAGGGCAGAUGACUGGGGUGAAGUCGUAACAAGGUAGCCGUAGUCCUGUGUGAAGUGAUCCGCUAACUCUAGAGGAUCCCCGG